RNAcentral lists this ribosomal RNA (495 nucleotides) under uncultured bacterium. RNAcentral's name for it is "partial 16S ribosomal RNA". It matches the Rfam family "Bacterial small subunit ribosomal RNA", at positions 28 to 507 of the family's 1533-position model. The record is from RNAcentral.
GACGAACGCUGGUGGCGUGCCUAAUACAUGCAAGUAGAACGCUGAAGGAGGAGCUUGCUCUUCUGGAUGAGUUGCGAACGGGUGAGUAACGCGUAGGUAACCUGCCUGGUAGCGGGGGAUAACUAUUGGAAACGAUAGCUAAUACCGCAUAAGAGUAGAUGUUGCAUGACAUUUACUUAAAAGGUGCAAUUGCAUCACUACCAGAUGGACCUGCGUUGUAUUAGCUAGUUGGUGGGGUAACGGCUUACCAAGGCGACGAUACAUAGCCGACCUGAGAGGGUGAUCGGCCACACUGGGACUGAGACACGGCCCAGACUCCUACGGGAGGCAGCAGUAGGGAAUCUUCGGCAAUGGACGGAAGUCUGACCGAGCAACGCCGCGUGAGUGAAGAAGGUUUUCGGAUCGUAAAGCUCUGUUGUAAGAGAAGAACGAGUGUGAGAGUGGAAAGUUCACACUGUGACGGUAUCUUACCAGAAAGGGACGGCUAACUACGUG